Molecule: ribosomal RNA, 465 nt
Filed under: uncultured bacterium
Lineage: Bacteria
Description: bacterial SSU rRNA
Rfam family: Bacterial small subunit ribosomal RNA
Source: RNAcentral
CUACGGGAGGCAGCAGUGGGGAAUUUUGGACAAUGGGGGCAACCCUGAUCCAGCCAUGCCGCGUGCGGGAAGAAGGCCUUCGGGUUGUGAACCGCUUUUGUCGGGGAAGAAACGGUCUGCGCUAAUACCGCGGACUAAUGACGGUACCCGAAGAAUAAGCACCGGCUAACUACGUGCCAGCAGCCGCGGUAAUACGUAGGGUGCAAGCGUUAAUCGGAAUUACUGGGCGUAAAGCGUGCGCAGGCGGCUUUGCAAGACAGAUGUGAAAUCCCCGGGCUUAACCUGGGAACUGCAUUUGUGACUGCAUGGCUGGAGGGCGGCAGAGGGGGAUGGAAUUCCGCGUGUAGCAGUGAAAUGCGUAGAUAUGCGGAGGAACACCGAUGGCGAAGGCAAGCCCCUGGGCCUGCACUGACGCUCAUGCACGAAAGCGUGGGGAGCAAACAGGAUUAGAUACCCGUGUAGGCC